AUGAACGGUCACCACCUGCUUAAUAUACCUCAGGAGAAAGGAGGUGCUUUCAGUGGAAUGUUCAAGAGAUCGAUUAAACAUGACGAACAGUCCCUGAAUGAGCUGGCGUCAAGCAAUGAAGGUCUAUCGGAAAAUAGCAUGGGGAAUCUCGCUAGGCAGAAGGAACUUUCAGAGAGCAACGACAGCCUGUCUGACACCAAAAAGACAAAGGUGGGUUAUGUCAUUUCGGGAAUAUCCUUGGAUGACAACUAACUCGUGACUUGUGGAGCGACGUUAAACUGGUUUGAGUUUCUGUCAGCUGCUGUUUGAGCCUCUGCCUGGAAUCAUGGAGGAAUCUUGUUCAGAACAAGAUUCCUCCAUGAUUCAGAACUUGGCCUGGUUCUGUCAGCAGUGU
Molecule: long non-coding RNA, 394 nt
Filed under: Gadus morhua (Atlantic cod)
Lineage: Eukaryota; Metazoa; Chordata; Actinopteri; Gadiformes; Gadidae
Description: lncRNA (ENSGMOG00000024785.1)
Source: RNAcentral